Non-coding RNA from Pelobates cultripes (western spadefoot toad), 213 nucleotides. The record is from the annotation of a GenBank genome assembly. Lineage: Eukaryota; Metazoa; Chordata; Amphibia; Anura; Pelobatidae.
UAUAUAGACAUACAGUGUGAAGAUAACAACAUUACCUGAAUUACCUAAGUGCAGUGUGGGAAGGCAGGGCCAUUUGGUAGAAGGAGAGGAGACUAUUAUAUACUCAACUCAGAUCAUCUCAGGAUCUUAACUAACCUUUAUCACGUCACUCCUAAGAUCUUUAACCAGUUGUCCCAAAUACAGUAUUUCUCUCGAUUGACACAAAAAUUAGAG